CGCCUUCAGAUUCAAUAUUGGAGGUCUGGUCUGCCCAGUGUAAUUAAUUAACGGCCGCGGUAUUCUGACUGUGCAAAGGUAGCAUAAUCACUUGCCCUUUAAAUGGGGGAAUGUAUGAAUGAUUAGACGAGGUUUUUACUGUCUCUUCCUUAUAAAUUGAGAUUACAAUACUUGUGAAAAUGCGGGUAAGGUAAUAAAGGACGAGAAGACCCUGUUGAGCUUUUGAGCUAAACUAUAGUACAGGUUAAGUUAAGUAAUAAUUUACAAUUAAAACGAGUAAUUUUUUGUAGGCUUUUUGGCUGGGGUGGCAAGCAAAGAUAUUAAGCUUUGUUGUAGUAUACAUUUUGUAUUUCUAGAUAAUAUGUAUCUAUAAAUAAUUAAAUUGAUCCGUUAAGAUAGAACGAUUAAAAGAAUAAGUUACCACAGGGAUAACAGCGUAAUUCUUUUUGAGAGCUCGAAUUGACAAAGGAGUUUGCGACCUCGAUGUUGGAUCAAGAUUCCUAGCGGUGUAGCAGCUGUUACGGGUUUGCCUGUUCGGCGAUUAAUAUCU
Molecule: ribosomal RNA, 550 nt
Filed under: Branchiostoma japonicum (Japanese lancelet)
Lineage: Eukaryota; Metazoa; Chordata; Leptocardii; Amphioxiformes; Branchiostomatidae
Description: partial 16S ribosomal RNA
Rfam family: Bacterial large subunit ribosomal RNA
Source: RNAcentral